RNAcentral lists this transfer RNA (73 nucleotides) under bacterium CG09_39_24. Its description in RNAcentral is "tRNA-Thr". It matches the Rfam family "tRNA". From Rfam's summary of the family: Transfer RNA (tRNA) molecules are approximately 80 nucleotides in length. The record is from RNAcentral. RNAcentral also lists the same sequence under 1 other name.
GAUGAAGUAGCUCAGUUGGUAGAGCACAGCUUUCGUAAAGCUGGGGUCGCGAGUUCGAUACUAGACUUCGGCU